RNAcentral lists this ribosomal RNA (301 nucleotides) under uncultured bacterium. RNAcentral describes it as "partial 16S ribosomal RNA". It matches the Rfam family "Bacterial small subunit ribosomal RNA", at positions 509 to 807 of the family's 1533-position model. The record is from RNAcentral.
CAGUAGCCGCGGUAAUACGUAGGUGGCAAGCGUUGUCCGGAAUUAUUGGGCGUAAAGGGCUCGCAGGCGGUUUCUUAAGUCUGAUGUGAAAGCCCCCGGCUCAACCGGGGAGGGUCAUUGGAAACUGGGGAACUUGAGUGCAGAAGAGGAGAGUGGAAUUCCACGUGUAGCGGUGAAAUGCGUAGAGAUGUGGAGGAACACCAGUGGCGAAGGCGACUCUCUGGUCUGUAACUGACGCUGAGGAGCGAAAGCGUGGGGAGCGAACAGGAUUAGAUACCCCUGUAGUCCCUGUCUCUUAUAC